Molecule: non-coding RNA, 6160 nt
Organism: Paramisgurnus dabryanus
Lineage: Eukaryota; Metazoa; Chordata; Actinopteri; Cypriniformes; Cobitidae
Source: RefSeq, a predicted model, not a curated record
GAAAGCUGGAGACGGACGGAGGUGAUUGUUUGCAGCAAGCAUCCGAGAGAAAAGCAGACGAGCAGCAAAGCAGCCAUAGCAAGUCCAAAGCCAGAAGACCUUCUGAAGGCUCAGGUGGAAGAUCUGAAGAAACAACUCAAGGCCAAGAGCAGGAUUAUUCAAAGUCUGAAAGAGGAAAUUAACAGUCCUUUGUUCCAGCGCGCACAAAAGAGGAAUUGAGGAGAAGUAUCUGAUGGUUCAGAUCAAUGAGAGAAAAGCAGAGAUUGACCUCCCAGAUGAAACACACACAGCAUCUGCCAAAACAGACUAGAUGUCCCGCUGUGUGCUUGAGAUGUCAGAAGGAACAUCAGACGUAAAAGACAGCAGCCUUCAGAGAGACCUACAAAACCUUCAUCAGCCGAGGCCAAAUUAACCAACCGGCUCUCUACUGCCCUGCAAACAAAGCUGGAUACACAAACAAAAGACUGAUGAAUAAAACAGGUGAGUUUACAGCUGAAGGUUGUGAACCAUGAAGAAGAUUGCCCAGGAUGGACAGCAGGUGGGGUGUAAAGGAUGUGAAUUCAAGAUACGCCAUAUUUAAACCCUGGGAAAGAGGUGAGGUCAGGUAUGUAUUUGUUUUAAUAAGAAGGUGUGUGCUUUUGACAGAAGUGGUUUGUAUGGUUUAGUCAGAAUUAAUUUAGAGAUCUAACAUCUAAAGCUACAGUUUUAUAUUUUAAAAGUUAAAAAAAUAACUAAAUCAACCUCUCUGUUAGAAACAUUGAUGAAAAAAUGGUCCCUAGCUGUCACUGGGGUGGUACCCUUUUAAAAAACUACACCUUUAAGGUACUAAUGUGAACUCUUCGGGGCGGUUUCCCGGACCAGGAUUAGCUUAAUCCAGGACUAGGCCUUAGUUUAAUUAGGAAAUAUAACUAGUUUUAACAAACAUGCCUUACAAAAAACAUUACCUGUGUGCAUUUUGAGGUAAAACAAAGGGCCCUGAUGUAUUUUAAGAUAUGUACGUGCAAGUUGUUUUCAGUUUGGAGAGCUCUUAAAAGUGUUUAAGUCUAGGACUAGUCUAAUCCCUGUCCGGGAAACCGCCACAAUAUGUCCAAAGGUACAUAUUAGUACCAAAUGUUUACAUAUCUGUACGUAAAUUGUACAUAUUAGGACCUUUGUAAAGGUACUGUCCCUGUGAAAGCUUGGGAUCAUUUUUGAUAUUCUAUUUUUUGACAGUGCUGACCAACAAAUGGUUAUUUUUAAGAUUUAAUCUGUUACAAAUAACUUCUUAUCGUAACAACUGCUUGCACUUCAUACAGUGUGGAAAGUCUGUGAUGGGAAAAUGUGAAUGUGUUUUAGCAGACAUUUAGAUAAAAGACUGUGUAUGCAUUACUCGAGGGUUUUUACAAAGAUGCUCAGAGUUAUGUAUUGUGCUUUAGGUCUUGUGUGUAUGUGUGUGUGCGUGUUUAGAGUAGAAGGUGUGUGUCCUCCCUGACCCCUUCCACAGUUCUACCGCCACCCAUAUGUUUACUGACUCAUGAAAAAUUCAUGAGUGUGUGUUUGGGAGCAGCAGAAUAAUUUUCAAUAUUUAGCCAGGCUAUGAAUACAGAUGAUGUUGAACUUUGGUGUAUACGCGAAGGUGUCCGGGCAUGCGUGUGUGUAGCUGGUUUGGCGGCGGGCUGAGGUUAGCCGGCUUAAUGAGGGGGUGAGGAGGCUGCAGGUCCACGCGAGCAUGUGCCGAGUGAGACGUAUCUCCAAGGAGACGUGUGAUUGGCCCGGGAGGGGCGAGGCAGACUGAGGCUCCGCGGGCCAAUCGCAACUAAUGCCGCAGCAGGUUAGCAGCUGCUGUCAAUCAAACGCAACAAAUACAUGUAUAAGUAAAUGUAGAGUAAUUGAAGCGAAUGAAUAAAGCCAAUAAACAUCUUAAAGCUUCAGGCUGAUAGCACCAAACAGCUGUAGAAGGAGAGAUAUAACAGUAAGGCUGUAGUGGAAUCAGAAAAUCCUGUUACGUCGGAGAUGUGGCUUACAUGCGCUUACAUGUUUAUCCUUGCUGUGCAUCCCGCUAUUGUCCCUGGAAAAAGGCGAAAUCAACAAAAUUGUAACUGGACUUCAAGAGUUAAUACUGUGCAGGUGUUUUGCAAGAUUAAUUGGGUUACACUGACUUUCUCGCAACGUGAAAUAGAGCCCAAAUAUAGCUCUAUUGUUCAUUUGUUUAUUUAUUACUUACUAUUUGCAUUUUAAAUAAAUCUAGCAUAUGCUCAGCUGAUAUUACACUGCAGGUGUUUUGUUUAGACGGUUUGAAAACAUGCUCAAAUGAAUAAAGCUUAGUUUUUAUAGCUGCAAUCCUUUAACAUACUUUUUAAGGUCACAUGUUUGUCAGGCCCGACCCUGAAUCACACUGUCAGAAAUUAUUCCAAGCUGUCACUGUGGCAGUACUCUUUAAAAAGGUCCCAGGUACCAUUUAGGUACAGAUUUGUAUACCAAUAUGUACCUUUGAGAUACUUAUAUGAAAUUUCUGGUACCUAUACCUAUUUCUAAGGUACAAAUAUGACCUCUUUUUACUUUUUAAGGUCAGAAAUUAUCCCAAGCAUUCACUGUGGCAGUACCGUUUAAAAAGGUCCCACGUACCAUUUAGGUACAAAUUUGUAUAUCAGUAUGCACCUUUGCGAUACUCAAAUAAAAUUUCUGGUACCAAUACUUUUGAUGUACAAAUAUGACCUCUUUUUACUUUUAAGGUCACAUAUUUGUCAUUCCCCGACCCUGAAUCACACUGUCAGAAAUUUUCCCAAGCUGUCACUCUGGUAGUACCAUUUAAAAAGGUCCCAGGUACCAUUUAGGUACAGAUUUUUAUACCAAUAUGUACCUUUGCGAUACUUAUAUGAAAUUCCUGGCAUUGAAUACCUACUUCUGAGGUACAAAUAUGACCUCUUUUUACUUUUUAAGGUCACAUAUUUGUCAUUCCCCGACCCUGAAUCACACUGUCAGAAAUUAUCCCAAGCAGUCAAUCUGGCAGUACUCUUUAAAAAGGCUCCAUGUACCAUUUAGGUACAGAUUUGUAUACCAAUAUGUACAUUUGAGAUACUUAUAUGAAAUUUCUGGUACCAGUGCGUACUUCUGAGAUACAAUUAUGACCUUUUUAGGUACAAAUGUGUACUUUUUAAAAGGGUUAUGCUUUUCUAUAGAUAAAAGCCUCAUUGCAGAUUAUAAUCACGUUGGGGAAUACAACAAUUUUAGCUUCAUUAAUGUGUGAUUUGGUGUUGUAAAAGAUAAAAUAGACCAGCAAUCUGACAUACUGUAGUGUGUUCAAGGUCGCAUGAGGUGUUGUUUUUUGUUAACAUGUCAUUGAAAGUGCAGAUAUGACCACAGGUUUUACAUUACAGUCAUAAGAGCAGCAUAUCAAAGACAUUUUAUCAAAUAAAAUGAAAGAAAGUCUCUUUAAAGCCGUAAAACUGUAAUCAGAUUCUGGGGUUACAAAACAGGUCUUUCAUACAGAUUAGCUGGAAUGUGUAUUCAUCAAAUCGAAAUUAGUAAGCAAAUAAUGUUUCAGAGUAUUUGAUCUCUAUGAUUGGGUUAGACAUAAAUAAGCUUUAAUUGUGCUUACGUCUACGAGGGCUUUUAACAUUCAUUUGAGGUCAUAGGAAACAUGAUGCCAUUUCCCAUAAACCUUGAACUUAACAACAGCAAUGCGGUAAACUGAGCCAGUGUGAAUAUUAAACUCCCUUCGCUUCAAUCUCAUAGCAAUAUUGGUACCAAAGAGUGCAUAUUAAUACCUCAAAGAUACAUAUUUUUAUCAAAUGUAUACACAUCUGUACCUAAAUUACUGUAUGAGGGGUACUACCCCAGGACUAGGGACAUUUUUUUCCGACAGUGUAUGGUCAGUAUGGUCUGUAAAUUAUAAUAUUUCCUAUAGCUUUAUUCCUGAAUUUCUGGAAGAAAUUAUUCGUUGAUUUUUCUUUGCAUGCUUAGUAGGUUUAGGGUAAGAUUUGGAUUCGGGAAGGUGCUCCAUAUGAAAGGAAUUUCAAAUGAUGAACGAGGGUUUAUGACAUUAGUAUUAUUGCUGUGUUCAGAUGGCAUGUUGGCUCUUUGAAAUGUCGCAUGCUAAAUUCAUUACAGGGGUCGAUCUAAGUGCAUGGUCGUAUUUUACAACUUUUAAUGACCCCGUCUCAGACUAAACCUUUACUAUGGUUCUUGCAUGCUACAUCACAAUGCUCAUCAUAGCAACAUCCAAAGACUAGUUACUACAGUUUUUGAUGCCACAGUAAAACCAGUAAAUUUUCAUUAGGGACCUGGCUAGCUCGGCACGGCAAACCGCCACUGACAUCAGAAAGAGGAAAUUAAAGAAAAUGACUUACAGAGAAAAAAUCAAAAGCUAUUAAAACUGUUUAAAUGAAAUUCUUAUGACUAGGGUUUUAAUAUAGUAAAAAAAUAGUCUUUGUAACUAUGGCAAUUUGGCAGAGAAUGUGGUCACCAUGCAAGACUUUAUUGCUUUUUAGAAACCUUGGAAAUUAUUUUCAAUCAUUUGUAUGUGGUGUUUUUUAGUAAUGUUGUGUCCAGGAAGAAGAUGGAAGCAUUUUUAAGAGUUGAAAUCUUUAAUAAAUAAACUGAAUUGAACAUGCUGAAAAAACAAUGGACCAGCUAACAGAAAGCUGAGAGCAACCGUAGACAAUCUGAAGAGCCGAAGAAGAAAAAUAUGUUAGUAUUAGAAGGAAAAAGUAGGCAGUCCCCAAGAAAUGUUUUGUAAUCAAACCCAAAAAUCUGUAUGUAACCUUUCUCUGUCCCCGAUUUUUGCAAACUCUGCAAAGCAUGCUUUAGAUAUAUUUGUAUAUUUCCAUGCAUUAUUAUUUUCUUCAGGGUGAUGUGUCCAUUUGUUUGGUCUCACGAGUAAUAUUUCAUGUUUUAAAGAAAAGUCUGUUUAUUCGGAGCAUACACAAAAUGUACUAAUAUCUUCCAGCAUUAUCCUUGCCAAGCAAUUUUGUGCCUGCGUCAGGGUUCAUUAAUACUGGUUAGCCGAAGUUGCCCUGUUCAGGGCAUCCUGGGGUGACAAAUGAAUCAGGCACCCCUGAUGUCACUUUGGUUUUGCAAUGUCUGGCAACAAAAUGAAUCUUUUAUAUUGCAGAAAGAUUUAAUUUGUAUGAGCUAAACUGCAUCCUACAAGGUCAGACUGGCGGAAUAUAAUUUUAAUCAAAUCAAAUUUAAUUUGUGUUUUAUAAAAGAGUUACCGAUUUGAAGAAUGACUGCAUUUUAUACUUUGUUACAUUCAGGGACUGAUGUUUUCUUCUGCUGUGUUGUAAAAUAUGUUUUUAAGAAGACAAAUGUUGCAUCUUCAUGCAAAACUCCUGAGUUUGUCUUUAUGUAGUGAUAUCUGUUUUGGAGAGGUUUGUUUGCUGAUUUGAAUAUAUAAAUGCUUCACUCACAAAAUGUUCUUCUGCGUUUGUCCAUAUAUAUAGUGUGGUCCAAAAGUCAUAGACCACAUUAAAAAAUCGUGAUUUGAUGUUGAUGUCUUUCAAAAGGUGACUUUUAUUCUAAAAGUGAAUGUCUUAGUCUCUUAUUACAUAAGGAAAUUUGAGAAGAUUAACAUGUUGUCCUUUUAAACAAAAUGUCUUUUUAACCCUCCAUUAAAGAAGAUGCUCUUUGUAACAUCCUCAGAUCAUGCGGGUACACACAUGGAUCAUCAGGUUUUGCACAAACAGUUGGAGAACAUGCUGCUAUUAAAAUAAAUAAACACAACAAAUAUAAAGACAUUCGAUGCAAUAUGGAGAAAAUAAUGUACAAUUUAUGAAACAGCCCUUAUUAUUUGACUGAUGAUUAAAAUGUAUAAAUCAUAAAAUUGUCAAAUUUCUUAUUGUCUUUAAUUACUUAUAUUUCCAAACUUCUAAGAAAAACUUUUAUUUGGUGAUUUAAGAUACAAUUUUAAUUUUUAUUCACAGAUGAGGCAGAUGAGGAAGAGUAAGAUAUACACGUUCAUGAUAUGUACACUAUACUUUAAACCUUAUAUGUUCUAGGUCAAUUUGAGCCGUUUUGAUUUUUAAGCUGUCUGACAAAAACGGUUAACCUGUGUUUUAUUCUUGAAAUUUUGUGACUUUCUCAUUUACAGCCAUGAACGUGCAUUGAAAGUUAGGAUACGCUGAUCUGUUUUAAAGUGUAUGCAAAUAAUUUUGUAAUAAUUUGAGGUUCGCUGUACUGU